Oreochromis aureus is the source of this 1166-nucleotide long non-coding RNA. RefSeq lists it as uncharacterized. The transcript is spliced from 3 exons. The record is from RefSeq and is a predicted model, not a curated record. Lineage: Eukaryota; Metazoa; Chordata; Actinopteri; Cichliformes; Cichlidae.
CCAUUUAUUUCAUCUUAAGUGUUUUGAUGGACAUGUUAGUCAUAUUGGACAUGAGCUGCACCCAAAUUUACAAUAUUUGAUUUUCAAUUAGACAUGCAACAGAUGGGUCUGGUUAUGUUCCUGAAUAUAAUAUAUUAAGAACUUACCAAACAUUUUGAUCAACAUUUUCUAUUAAUGUAAAAAUAAAUAAAAUGGAAUUGCACAUGAAUCAUUUAACUACUUUAUUGCAAUUAAUCAGUGUUCAUUUAUGAAUGGAACAAGGUUCUUGGAUUUCCACAUAUCUUUCAAUUGUUCUGACAUACAUCUAAAGUCUGAGCAUGACAGUGACAUUGCAAAGAAACUUAAGAAAUAUAUGUUGUCCUACUACAACUAAAAUAUUACCCAAAAAAAACAUGAAUGAAUACAUUCAAAAUAAUAACACCUUUGCUGGUCUUAAAGCAAAAUAGUUAAUAAAUGUUCUUUAUUUUUCCUGUACCAGACCUGCAGUGAUCACCUAUGGUAUGUGGGACCAGGUGCGAGUAGACCAUGGAAAGGAAUUUUAUUUAACACUGUUCAUGCAAGAGAUGCUGUCACAUCAUCGCUUCAAUCAGGAGAGACUGCCUUAUUUACAGACCUCAUCCACAAGAAACCACACAGUUGAAAGGAUUUGGCCUGAAAUCAACAACCGUGUCAACUACCCACUAAAACUGCCCUACUCCAGCUGAUGGACCAGGAGGAGAUAGAUAUGGAGGAUAACCUUGUGCGAUACUGUGUGUCCAAUCUAACCUGUCAGCUGUGUAACAUUGGUCUUGCAAGUGUGGUAGAAUCAUGGAAUGCUCAUAGAAUCCCAGGAAAAGGCAUACCAAAUCACUUUGCAGAACAUGGGUGUAAAAGAAGAAUUUCUCCAGAGCUCUUGCCAAAUGCACUUGAAGCAGCAGACCUUUACAGGCAGCACUUGGGAUCUGCACUCAAAGAAUAUUCGACUUUUGGAGUUGAUCCCUUCACAACCGAACAGGACAAACUUAGAACAGAGAGUCAUUUUGCAGAAAAAUAUCCUGAUAUUUCACAUUUGUUUUUUAGAGCCGUAAAUGGUGACUUUAUGCCAUACAAAGAAGCUCUGCUCUGUCUCAUAAACAUAACUCAGAGAAAUGUAUGAACCACUGCAUCUGUAAACUGUACAGAACAGA